Anguilla anguilla (European eel) is the source of this 305-nucleotide long non-coding RNA. RefSeq lists it as uncharacterized. Lineage: Eukaryota; Metazoa; Chordata; Actinopteri; Anguilliformes; Anguillidae. The record is from RefSeq and is a predicted model, not a curated record. The transcript is spliced from 3 exons.
ACCUUUCCUUACUUACCUGUUUACCUGCUCAACUGAAUGUUCGAUGGGUGGAGUCAUCUGUUGUGGAGUGGAACUGAGUCUCCCUGCCAGUCACUGACCCAUUAACAUCCUGAAUGAUGGCCCUAUGUAACAUGCUAAUGUGUGAGGGCUAAAAUGUGAGAUCUGACCCACAGUCUCUUUCUCCAGUCGGGAGUAUCUGGAGACGGGACGUGUCAAAAGCAAAAUGGACGGAUCAAAAGCAUGUUUCUAUUGGUCAAUGAUUCGGUGAGUCACGUAUAUUAUCCAAUCAAAAGCAUGAUCCAAAG